Molecule: ribosomal RNA, 621 nt
Filed under: uncultured bacterium
Lineage: Bacteria
Description: bacterial SSU rRNA
Rfam family: Bacterial small subunit ribosomal RNA
Source: RNAcentral
UAACUACUGGAAACGGUAGCUAAUACCGCAUAACGUCGCAAGACCAAAGAGGGGGACCUUCGGGCCUCUUGCCAUCAGAUGUGCCCAGAUGGGAUUAGCUAGUAGGUGGGGUAACGGCUCACCUAGGCGACGAUCCCUAGCUGGUCUGAGAGGAUGACCAGCCACACUGGAACUGAGACACGGUCCAGACUCCUACGGGAGGCAGCAGUGGGGAAUAUUGCACAAUGGGCGCAAGCCUGAUGCAGCCAUGCCGCGUGUAUGAAGAAGGCCUUCGGGUUGUAAAGUACUUUCAGCGAGGAGGAAGGUGUUGAGGUUAAUAACCGCAGCAAUUGACGUUACCCGCAGAAGAAGCACCGGCUAACUCCGUGCCAGCAGCCGCGGUAAUACGGAGGGUGCAAGCGUUAAUCGGAAUUACUGGGCGUAAAGCGCACGCAGGCGGUCUGUCAAGUCGGAUGUGAAAUCCCCGGGCUCAACCUGGGAACUGCAUUCGAAACUGGCAGGCUAGAGUCUUGUAGAGGGGGGUAGAAUUCCAGGUGUAGCGGUGAAAUGCGUAGAGAUCUGGAGGAAUACCGGUGGCGAAGGCGGCCCCCUGGACAAAGACUGACGCUCAGGUGCGAAAGC